RNAcentral lists this ribosomal RNA (446 nucleotides) under Streptomyces griseus. RNAcentral describes it as "bacterial SSU rRNA". It matches the Rfam family "Bacterial small subunit ribosomal RNA", at positions 44 to 508 of the family's 1533-position model. The record is from RNAcentral. Lineage: Bacteria; Bacillati; Actinomycetota; Actinomycetes; Kitasatosporales; Streptomycetaceae.
GUGCUUAACACAUGCAAGUCGAACGAUGAAGCCUUUCGGGGUGGAUUAGUGGCGAACGGGUGAGUAACACGUGGGCAAUCUGCCCUUCACUCUGGGACAAGCCCUGGAAACGGGGUCUAAUACCGGAUAACACUCUGUCCCGCAUGGGACGGGGUUAAAAGCUCCGGCGGUGAAGGAUGAGCCCGCGGCCUAUCAGCUUGUUGGUGGGGUAAUGGCCUACCAAGGCGACGACGGGUAGCCGGCCUGAGAGGGCGACCGGCCACACUGGGACUGAGACACGGCCCAGACUCCUACGGGAGGCAGCAGUGGGGAAUAUUGCACAAUGGGCGAAAGCCUGAUGCAGCGACGCCGCGUGAGGGAUGACGGCUUCGGGUUGUAAACCUCUUUCAGCAGGGAAGAAGCGAAAGUGACGGUACCUGCAGAAGAAGCGCCGGCUAACUACGUGC